Molecule: ribosomal RNA, 499 nt
Filed under: uncultured bacterium
Lineage: Bacteria
Description: partial 16S ribosomal RNA
Rfam family: Bacterial small subunit ribosomal RNA
Source: RNAcentral
GACGAACGCUGGUGGCGUGCCUAAUACAUGCAAGUCGAGCGGACUGAAUGGGAGCUUGCUCUUGUUCGGUCAGCGGCGGACGGGUGAGUAACACGUGGGCAACCUGCCCGCAAGACCGGGAUAACUCCGGGAAACCGGAGCUAAUACCGGAUAACACCGAAGACCGCAUGGUCUUUGGUUGAAAGGCGGCGCAAGCUGCCACUUGCGGAUGGGCCCGCGGCGCAUUAGCUAGUUGGUGAGGUAACGGCUCACCAAGGCGACGAUGCGUAGCCGGCCUGAGAGGGUGACCGGCCACACUGGGACUGAGACACGGCCCAGACUCCUACGGGAGGCAGCAGUAGGGAAUCUUCCGCAAUGGGCGAAAGCCUGACGGAGCGACGCCGCGUGAGCGAAGAAGGCCUUCGGGUCGUAAAGCUCUGUUGUGAGGGACGAAGGAGCGCCGUUUGAAGAAGGCGGCGCGGUGACGGUACCUCACGAGGAAGCCCCGGCUAACUACGUG